GUGAUAAGAUCGUCGAGCCACGGCGGGCCCCGCUGAUUCCCGGCAUGGACGCCGUGAAGAAGGCGGCGAUUGAGGCCAGGGCUUUCGGGUGUACGAUAAGCGGGGCGGGGCCCACCGCGGUGGCGGUUACAGAUGAUCUUGAGAGAGGGAAAGCGAUUGGGGAGAGAAUGGUGGCGGCGUUUUUGAAGGAGGGAAAGUUGAAGGCGGCGGCGAGUGUGAGUAGGCUCGACCGGGUUG
Molecule: long non-coding RNA, 237 nt
Filed under: Prunus persica (peach)
Lineage: Eukaryota; Viridiplantae; Streptophyta; Magnoliopsida; Rosales; Rosaceae
Description: long non-coding RNA (PPER_LNC008428)
Source: RNAcentral